RNAcentral lists this unclassified non-coding RNA (5442 nucleotides) under Penaeus japonicus. RNAcentral describes it as "a-kinase anchor protein 17A-like, transcript variant X1". Lineage: Eukaryota; Metazoa; Arthropoda; Malacostraca; Decapoda; Penaeidae. The record is from RNAcentral.
GCCGGAGGAGGAAGAUGGUAAACAACGUCAGCUGAGACUUUCAAUUUCCUUCCGUUUUUUUUAUUUUUUUUGACAAGAUGGAGAAGAACGUGCUGAAAAAUGUCCAGGUGUGCACGGACACGAGCGACUGCGUUGAGCUGUCCCGUACGUCUGGCCUCUACCUCAAACCAGAGGCUAGGGUCAGCAUCACAGUCACGCUCCCACAGCUCAAGUCAGGGCAGUCGAUAUCCAACUGGGAGGUAAUGGAGAAGCUUCGAUCUGCCAUACUGCCAGAAGUGUUCACAGUUAUCAAAGUGACCAAAAGUACGCUCGAGUUCCUGAGAUUCGAUGCGGAAAUUGAGAACAGGAAGAAUCUCUCGCAAGUCAUCAGUAAAAUCGAUCAGAAAGGGAUCAAGCUGAGUGGAUUCUCAGACCUCCUGAAGAUCAGAGCCACGGAGGCCAAGGCCCCCUUCCCCUCUCGUCAUGACUGGGACAGUUAUUUCCGGGACGCCAAACACAUGAACGAGAUGAAGCCGGGAGAGAGACCAGACACGGUGCACUUCCAGGACCUCCCGUGCCGUUGGUUUGCGCACAUCAAUGAUGCUGACACCAACAAGCCCAGUGACUACGUCCUCAGCAAAGUGAUGGCUUCCUUUGGGGAGAUCAGGGCGGUGGACAUCCCUCUCUGCGACCCUUAUCGCAAGAAAAUGUCAGCCUCCAUCAAUGGCAUCAAGACCUUCAGCUUUGGCCAGGACCUGGUCUUUGAGGCCUAUGUGCAGUUCAAGGAGUACAUAGGCUUUGCCAAGUGCAUGCACGCACUGCAGGGAAAGAAGCUAGUUUUCCUUGAAGGGGACAAAGCAUGGAGUGCAUCUAUAAAGGUGGACUUUGACAAGACAAAGCACUUGUCAGAAUACUCGAUCAAAAAACGCUCGGCUGAACGAGAGAAGCUGCAGGCCGUAGAACGCGAGGCUGAGGAAAAGGUGCGCAGAAAGAGAGAGAUGGAGGAGAUGAAGAUAGAGGCUGAAAGGAUGAGACAGGAGGAGGAAAGGAGGAUGAAGGAGGAACGCAAAGAGGCAAAGAAAAAGGAGAAAGAAUUACGGAGGAAUGAGAGAGAGGAAAAGAGACGAAAGAAAAGGUUGAUGAAAGUGGAGGAGAUGAUGAAGAAACAGGAGGAGGAAGAGGAGGCAAAGCUUGCCAGGAAGAUUGCCUUGGAGGAACGGAAGCUGCUGAUUGCGCAACGCAAGCUGGAGAGCAUUCGACUCCUGGAUGAGCUCUUUGAGAGAAUUAAGGUUGGUCGUCAGAAGGAGAUUGCUCAAAAGAGGGAGGAGGAGAUCUUCCGGCAUUUGGACCAGCAUAAUAACAAGCAGGUGGAGGAGUUGAAAGAAAAAGAGCUAAAGGAACGCAGACACCAGGAGAAGCUGGCAGACCAAGAGCGAAUGCUGCGCGAUAAGCUAGUCCGCUCUUACAAGUCCAGAGAGGAGGACCGGAUGGAACAGCAGCGUGAGAAAGUGCGCAAGGCUGUUCAGGGAAAGGUGCAACUCCAGAGCGUCAUAUCAGCUGCAUCACUGUCUUCCAUCUCGACCGCUACCUCGGAGAGCGACAGUGAUUCUUCCUCUGAAUCCUCUGAUUCCUCAGUGUCCUCAGAGACCAAGCGGGGCAACCUGUCCACCGGUCGUUUGCGAAUGGACAACAUGGACGAAGAAGAACAGUACGACGAGUAUGGGAGCUGGCACCCCUCCCAGGGUUCCCAGCAUCAUUACUACUCCUACUAUGAUGGGUAUGGUGACCCAGAAGCCCAGGGUUACCACCAGUCUUGGGGCCAGGAUGAUGGCUUUGAGCGCGGCAGGGGACGCGGAAGGGGCCGGUGGCGGUUCCCCAGAGGUCCUUGGAGAGGCCGUGGAUUCAGGGAUCGUGGCAGAGGGUUCCGGGAUAGAGGAAGAUCCUUCAGGGGUUCGUGGAACAAGUAUGGGCAGGAAAGAGAUGGAGCCAAACCGCUGGAGGUUAACAAGCCUGUGACAACCUGGUAUAAGAGAGGAAGUGAUAACGAGCGUGAUGAUUCCAGGUCAAGGUCUAGGAGUAGGUCGAGGUCUAGAAGUUCCAGAUCACGUUCUAGGUCGAGAUCCAGGAGAUCCCGCUCCAGGUCCAGGUCCAGGAAGUCCGGCUCAAAGUCCCACUCCAGGUCCAGGAAGUCUCGUUCCAAGUCAAGGUCAAGAUCUAGAAAGAAUUCCAAGUCCAAGUCAAAGAGUCGAUCCCACUCCCGCUCGAAGUCAGGAUCAAGAAGCAGGAGUAGGAGCAGGAGCAGGAGCAGGAGCAGGAGCAAGAGCAAGAGCAGGAGCAGGAGCAGGAGCAGAAGACGAAGACACUCCAGUAGUGAUGACAGGUCAAGCCACUCCUCAAGAAGGAGAUACAAGCGAAGGAGUGAGCGCUACAGGAGGAGCAACAGCAGGAAGAAAGAUGAAGACAAAGAUGUGAAUUAUGAAGACAUGCGUGAAAGUGACCUAGAGCUCUCCAGUGAUCCGGAAGAUGCUUGGAGGUAUGAAGAGGAAUAUGAGGAAGAUGAGGAGUACUAUGAGGAUGAAAAUGGAUACUACCCCCAGUAUCCCUCACGGGCACGUGGCCGUGGGGGAUACAGAGGCUUUAGGAGAGGCUUCCGUGGGCGCUGGCCCAGGUGGCGAGGGAGGGGGCGGGGAAGGGGUCAUUCCAGCUACUAUGACUACCCUGAGGAUUAUGAUUCCUGGAGGCAUGAUGAACUGAGUGCAAGGGACCAGUACCAAACCAUGUACCAGAAGUACUUUGAGAGUGUGGCUGAUCGAGAGUCCUCCAGCAAGAGUGGACGAACCCCAGAGGAGUAUAAUAAUAGGAAGGAGGGCGAGAACUAUCGGGAGAGGGAGGAGGGACACAGGUCUCUACACAAGGAGCGAGAACAGCCACAGGAAGACUAUGAAAACAAUCACAGGAGCCAUCACGAGUACAGUGACGGGAGGAAUCCAGAUAGGCUGAGAAAUCAGGACGGCUGGCCAAAUUAUGAGAAGAAAUGGAAGCAUGGUGCAGAGAGGAAGUCAGAAGAUAGGGACAAUUUCAAUGAAACGAGCAGAAAAGCUCAAGCAUUCAACAGGGAGUUAAUGGACUCUGUGCGUGGGAGAAGAGAGACAGAAAGCAUAAGAGAGCCGGAGGACAUAGAGGGCAGGAGACAAGGCGAGAGGGAGAGCUUGAGACAGAGGCUCAGCAGGGAUAGAACAAAACCCUACAGAGAAGAGAGAGACAACAACAGAAAGGAUCAUGCUAUGAGAGAGAGUCUGGAGGACAGCCGACGAGAGCGUAGCUAUGAGAGAGACGGGCAGUUAUCAAGUGCGAUUGUUAAAAGCAGUGGCAACGAGAGAAGAUAUGGUGAUAAAGCCAGUUAUGAAAAAGGAAGAGAUAAAGACCGUAAUAGUGACAAUAGUAUUGAUUCACGAUGGAAGAACCAAGUGCUAAGAGCAGACAUUGAGAGAGAUAGGAAGCGAGAGGUUUCCGUGAAAGAUAGGUUGAGUUUUGGAAAUGUCAAAAGCAACAGUGAGACUGAUCGCAUUAAUAAUAGGUUGAAAUCUAUUGCUGAACAAGGUGCCUUUAAGCAUAAACAGUCGGAUGUUGAGACUAGGGGUGGGCGUGAUGCAGAGCGCAGGGACCUGAGACCUUGGCAUAAUACAGACUCAAGUGAAGGUAGACGGGAUCCAAAACCCAGUGAUCCAAGAAGUAGGCGUGAAAUUUUGUAUAACAGUGGUAGAGACAGGCAUGAGACAGACCAUGGGGGAAGUAGAGAGAGAGGGGAUGAAGGUAGCGAAAGUAGGAAGAGACGAGAUCACGAGAGAGUUGCCCUGAGGGAGAGUUCCGAAAGAGAUGAAGAGUCAAAUGAAAGUGAUUCAGAUAGAAAGAGGCACCACAGUGAUGGUAGUAGAAAGAAAAGGAAAAAGAGAAAGAGAAAGAGAGAGGAAAGAGGUGAUAUUAGAAGGCAUAAACAUAAAAAGAAAAAGAAGAAGAGGGUGUUGGAGAGAAAGUAAAGGCAUUGGACCACUCUUUUUCAGGUUGCUGUGAUAAACCAACUUGAACUGAAAUCAGUUUUCUGUGACAUUUGAAAGACAGAUGUGACUGUGAGAAGAUUUGUGAAUUUGUGUGAAAUCUGAGUGCCUAUAUUUGUGUUCUGUAUAUAUUUUCAUUUCAGGUUAUUUUAUAUGAAAGACAGACAGACCCCUAAAUCUGUUUUUAAAAAAGUGAAUCCUCCUCCUUUUUAAAGUGAAAGUAUGAAUACAGUGAGCUGAAGUUAAGUGACUUGAAGGGGCAGAGGAUUCUUGAGUGCAUUGUGAAAUUUCCAAGCGAGAAUGUUUUCUACCAGAUAAAAAUAAUGAUUAAGUGUUUUUCAGGUUUCUCUUUCAGCUUUUCUAUUUUCAAGGGGAAGUGUGUCAGUAGACAUUUAUAGACAGUUUCAGUUGGUGGUAGAAACACAGUGAUAGUUUAUACCUGAAGAAGCUUCAGACUCUAGUGUACUGUGGUGGAGCAUUUAAAAGGAAGCCAUGAAAUUUCAAAUAACUUUACAUCAAGAGUGACUAAUGAAUAUCAACUGGUUACAUGAGAGUGUUGAAACUAGAAGAGUUUAUAUCACUUAAGCUAAUGAGACUUAUAGGAUGCUAAAGUUGGUUAUAGUGCACAUUCGAAGGUUUUACAAAGAAGCAAUGAAAGCUGUGAACUUAGAAUUUUUAAAUGAUGCGAACAGAUGUAACCGAUGAAAUAGAGACUAAGGAACCAUUUUGUACGACUGCUGUAAGACAGACACCAUGAAGAUUGGAAUUGCUGCGUUUGAUGAGAGAUUCUUGAUUAGAGAGUGACAGAGAUGUGAUGUAAAAGUCUCAUAGUACACGCUCAGUUAAACGGGUCCGUGCAUUUCUCGAAGCCCGAAGCGAAUGUGCAGUGGACACACGAGGAAAAGAAAACGAGUGAAAUGUGUGCACAGAGGUCUUCAUUUUGUGCAGUUGAUAUAAAUUUUUCUUGUGGAAAGAGGAUUGAUGAGUGCAAAGUAACUGCAAGUGUUUUGGAAAGGGACACGGAAAAGCAGCACCUGAACCAAAUUAUUCAUAUUAUACAUUUCAAAACUGACUUUGAUGUACAUGAAGUACAUGGUAAGGUAACAGUAUUAAGAAAGACAUACGUAUAAUAGAGAAAAGGAAAGAAAAGAAAAGAAAAUACACUUCGGGAACAUGACAAGAAAGUGAAAUACGGCACUGAUAGUAUUUCUAUAUUUAUUUUUAUUUAAUGAUGAUUUUAUUCUUAUUUUUGAUAGAUGUAGACGAGGCAAGAGAGGACCUGUGUGCUCUCUUGUUUUGGUUAUUUCCUCCUCGUCUACCAAAAUAAUGUACAUAGAUGACUCUUUUCUUGUACAAAAUUGGAUUUUGAAAUUAGAAAGGAUAUUGAAAUUAAAGAUGCUGAAAACUA